ACGGUCCCCUCCCGCUGCGCACACUGCCGACCCUGCGGCCGCGCGCUCUCCAGCCCUGCGCCUCUUUUGUGUGGCUGCGGCGCGCCGGGCUCCGCCGGGUGGAGUUGAGCCCGCGGCGGCUGCUCCGGGCGGCCGGACUGGCGGCUGUUGCUAAGAGACCGGAGCCAUGACACAGGGAAAUUGCGGCAGGAUGGCAGGAAACUACAGUUUUCCUAUUUAUUGUGUUAAAUACACAUAUGACCCCACGCGCAGAGGAGAGGAAUUAAGAAAGAUCCUACGUUAUAGCUGUUCCUGCAAAAGAUCUCUCAUCAGAACGGACUGUUCUGUUUAAAGGCUUACUCUAGGAGAAUGAAAACCACCAGGACGCACUACUUCGUUUCCUCAGCCAUGAAGGAAUGGAAGGAAGGACUUGGAGUGUCACAGCUGAACCCACAAGGGAGGACUGCCAGCCAACUUGGAGUCUAGAAGCUGUGCUCCUCAGCUUGGACUUCAGGGCUCCAUCAGCAGUUCUGGUUCCUUGACUUUCUGUUCCCAUCUCUACUGGCCUGUGGGGACACUAGGGUUGUGAUGGUUUCUAUAUGCUUGGUGGUCCGGGGAGUGGCAUGAUUAGAAGGUAUGGCCCUGUUGGAGUAGGAGUGACCCUGUGGGUGUGGGCUAUAAGACCCUUAUCCUAGCUGCCUGGAAGUCAGUAUUCUGCUAGUGACCUUCAGAUGAAGAUGUAGAACUCUCAGCUCCUUCAGCACCAUGCCUGCCUGGAUGCUGCAAUGCUCCCACCUUGAUGAUAAUGGACUGAACCUUUGAACCUGUAAGCCAGUCGCAAUUAAACGUUGUCCUUA
Molecule: long non-coding RNA, 836 nt
Filed under: Mus musculus (house mouse)
Lineage: Eukaryota; Metazoa; Chordata; Mammalia; Rodentia; Muridae
Description: predicted gene, 38593, transcript variant 2 (Gm38593)
Source: RNAcentral